GAUGAACGCUAGCGGCGUGCCUAAUACAUGCAAGUCGAACGGGUUAGAUCUAAAAGCUUUCUUUUGUGUGAUUAGAGUGGCGCACGGGGGCGUAAAGCGUGUACACCAUCCACUUGUCAAAGGGGUAGCACGGCGGAAAUCGGAAUAAUAACCCAGAUCAGCUUUUUGAUCCCUCUUUGGAGGAUCGAAAAGUUAUCGCCCAAGGAUAGAUGGGCUUGCGGGUCAUUAGCUGGUAGGUAAGGUAACGGCCUACCAAGGCGGCGAUGCGUAGCGGAUCUGAGAGGGGAAACCCCCACACUGGUACUGAGACACGGCCCAGACUCCUACGGGAGGCAGCAGUAAGGAAUAGUGGGCAAUGGACGGAAGUCUGAACCAGCCACGCCGCGUGCAGGAGGACGGCCCUCGGGUUGGUAAACUGCUUUUAGACGGGAAAAAGCGUCGGUAAGGGUACCGGGCUGAGUGUACCGUAAGAAUAAGGACCGGCUAACUCCGUG
RNAcentral lists this ribosomal RNA (494 nucleotides) under uncultured bacterium. RNAcentral's name for it is "partial 16S ribosomal RNA". It matches the Rfam family "Bacterial small subunit ribosomal RNA", at positions 28 to 507 of the family's 1533-position model. The record is from RNAcentral.